CAAGCAGCGGAGCGUGUGGUUUAAUUCGAUGUUACACGAAGAACCUUACCUGGGUUUGACAUGCUAGUGGUAAUGAAGCGAAAGCUAAGUGACCCGCAGGGGAGCUAGCACAGGUGCUGCAUGGCUGUCGUCAGCUCGUGUCGUGAGAUGUUCGGUUAAGUCCGCUAACGAGCGCAACCCUCGUCGUGUGUUAUACGUGUCACACGAUACUGCCGGUAUCAAGCCGGAGGAAGGUGGGGAUGAUGUCAAGUCAGCAUGGCCUUUAUAUCCUGGGCUACACACACGCUACAAUGGCAGAUACAAUAGGUUGCGAAACCGCGAGGUGGAGCCAAUCCUCAAAGUCUGUCUCAGUUCAGAUUGUAGGCUGCAACUCGCCUGCAUGAAGUUGGAGUUGCUAGUAAACGCAGGUCAGCUAUACUGCGUUGAAUACGUUCCCGGGGUUU
RNAcentral lists this ribosomal RNA (443 nucleotides) under uncultured Leptolinea sp. RNAcentral describes it as "bacterial SSU rRNA". It matches the Rfam family "Bacterial small subunit ribosomal RNA", at positions 926 to 1382 of the family's 1533-position model. Lineage: Bacteria; Bacillati; Chloroflexota; Anaerolineae; Anaerolineales; Anaerolineaceae. The record is from RNAcentral.